UUAGGAGGUUCAGCAAAGAGAUGCAAUGAUUUUUAUUUACAAGUACAUGUAUUUUCACAUUUUUUAGUGUUUACUCAGUUCCACUUAUGUCAGGUAGAAGUGAGCGACAGAUGGCUUACGAAGAUCGAGCAACGUAUUGAGGACAGACAAACUAGUUAUACAGACAAAGUUGAAGCCUCCGCGUAUCCAUAUGAAACAAAGAAAUAAAGAUAUCAAAUGAGAUCGAGGAAGACACAGAAAUUUAUUUACCAUAUUGGAUGAGUGACGAUGCUUCUACAUGUAAAUAUUGAUGUACCUCCAAAUGGCGGUUUGGGGCAUUCCAGUGACAUUGGGCGAAGUUUGUGGACAAACUCAAGUUAUUGCCCUUCAAGUAUACAACAACAUUUCUCGAAGUACUUUACAGCAUUCUAGAGCCACCUUGGUACACUGGACCAAUGGAUGACUCAUACUACUGUAGGAUCUGGACGUCGACCAACUUACAAAGAGAAAAAAAAAACAACUCCAAAGUUGACGUUUAGAACAUCUUCCAAAAACUAGGAUCAGGAUAAAAAGGACUUUUGUUAUAAUGUGAUUUUAUUCUUCUUUGAUGUGUAUUGCAUUUUCAAUGUUACUUAGUGGAGUUUUAAAAUCUCUAACAAAGGUAAGAUUAUAUAGAAUAAUAACCUUAAUAUUAUCAAAUACUAUACUUCAGUUGCAUUUGGAAUAAAACAAAUCUUUGUUGAUGUACUUUACCACAUACAGUGUAUAUUUCUUCAAUGAAAAGAGGAUAUUCUCGGUGAAAAGAUAUUAAUAAAGGCAUUUCUUCACUUCAUCUUUGUUAUCUUUUCAUUAUUAGUAGAGAUGUCAAAACUUACGCAUACUAUCAGACUCUAGAUUAUUUCGGAUUUUUUGGAACCUAUUCAAAUCGUGUCAAACAUUUCUUACGUGUCAUGAAAAAACAGGAAAUCUUUGUUUCCUUUUCUCGGUCAUUAAUCAGUCUGAUCUGUGACAAAAAAGUGCACUAAUUUUGUAAACAUACCUUUUUUUACCUCAACACUGCGGGAUGAUAUUAAUUAUUCAUAAUUCAUUGUCGCAAAGUAUAACAAGGUCUCAAGCUCAUACAUACUAAACUCAUUUGUCAUACUGUAAUAUCAGCCUAUUUAAUCUAUUUUAUAUAUUUCUUCAUCCCCAAGAACAUUCAUUUUUUUAAAGAUAAUUUAUUUUGACAGUCGAAAACCUUUCUUCUUAAAUAAAUUUGAAAUUUUGCAUAUGCUUUGUAUUUAUAUAUAUCGAAAACUUAAUGAACGCUUAAUUGUUUAUUAAUAAAUAGUAAUUUACCGUGCAACAUAUUUGAUUUUUUGAUUUUAAUUAUUGAUCAAAUGGUUGUUCGCUCAUUGUUUUUUCUUCUUCAAUCUUCUAUUUUUAUCUCUAGAGGUAACGAAGUUUAAUAUCAAUAAUAUUUUGUUUUAUUUUUGAAUAUUUUUCUCUUCAGCAUAUUGAUUUAUUCUUAUUUUUUAAUUAACCAAUUCCAAAAAUUAGUAUAAUUUGCAAGUUGCAUACUAUAUUCUGCACAAACUACAGUCCCCGUUUAUGUCUUUAAAUGCUGAAAAAGUUUUAAGCAAUAGGGGUAAUUUAUUUAAUAAUUCAGAUACUUUUUUUGGUCUGGUGCUUUGUGAACUUGAUUUCACUGUCUUGAUGAGUAAAACUAAAAUGUAUUUUUUAAACAUUAGAAAAUACUAAGAGUAGUUGAAUUAUCAUUUUUUAAAAUUCAUAUGACAUUGCAAAGAAGCAAAAUAUCAAAUAUGCACUCAUGUUUUUCUUUCACUUACAAGAUUUAGAAAAUAAAAAUCUAUUUAAUCUAUUCAUCAUCAUUUAUAUAUGUCUUAUUUAAGAAAUGUAAAUUGUAUCUUUUUGGUCAUAAAACGCAGCUGGAAAAUUAUGUGUUAAGUAAACAUGAUAUAUUUUACUUUGACCUAACUUUUGGCAUUUGAAAUAAAAUCUUGGCAACAUGCACCUUGUUGUAAAGUGACAUCUCAAACAAUGCCCUCACCGUUUGACUGGGGAGAAGAAAAAAAGAGAAGUGGGACGAACUCAUAUUUCUGCCGCCAGAAUGUCACGAAGAAGCAACAAAGAAAGUUUGGACUUAUUAUUUUGCAUGCUAGGACUCAUCUACUCUUUCAAGCGAUGACUGGAUUACAAAUCAUCACGAUAAAAUUGCAGCUAACCAAGGGGGGAGUAGCUCAGUAAGAGAUGGGUUCAACAAUCGGUAAUCAAAGGCUAUUAAAAGGUUGUGAUGAAAACCCUCCCCGACUUCGAACAAUGCCAAGAUUGUUAUUUUUACUACCUUUGACAUAGGUAUGGAUUCACGGUACCACUGGAACGAUAUCUAGAUUGCUGUCGAGUACAUCCGAUGCUUAGUUCAUUUCUCUUUUGCCUCUGGCGAUGUCAAAAUUCAUACUUAUAGCUCUGUGGUAAAGAUUCAAUCAUUUAGGUAAUGCUUUGGCACAUUGACAAAGUAGUGUCAGCGCAGACCGUCGCGCAAUAGACCUAUACACACUUUUAUAUCUAUUGCGCAGUUCUCUCUUUAUACUUGUAUUUGAUUGUCACUUAAUCGUUUCUAAUUGUGCAAUCAGAAAGUGCCUUUGUUCCUUUGUGUAGCAAGUAAAUAUAAUUUAUAAGAAAAUGUUCGAACUUUGUUGUUAUUUUUCAUUAUGUCUAGUGGCACCCUUUCCUGAUGAUUAUGUCAUGAUAUUAUGUCUGCUUCAAAGGAACUUUGUUGUUAAAGAAAUUGAAAACCGAUCAUAUUAAAAGAAUAAUCUAAAAUAUCUUGGGGCAUUCACAGCAAAAGAUAUUAAACUGAUAUAGAUUUAGAAAGAAAUCUAAAAGAUCAAACAAGAAUAAUAUUGAUAUUUCUAUUGACACGCAAAUGUAGUGCAGUUAAGGACCCAGUAACCUGAGUUGUACACGUCUAGUAUACGUUUGUUGACAUACCCAUGUGGCAAUCAUAUUUUUAGAAUAUUAGGUCAAAACAUAUCACAAAGGGUUUAGAAACCUUGAAACCUGAGAAGUUUAUAUCUCACAUUAGAUCAGCCCAGUACAUGUCAACAUUUAUCGAAUUUCCAGUUUUAAUAUCCCUAAUUUCUUUUGCCAUCACUUUCAAGACUUCAGACUUAAAGUACCUCUACAGCUGCAGUCAAAGCUAUAGAGGACGUUAUUUUUAAGCCAUUUUCUUAAGAGGGUUUAACAAAUCUCAGUGGGGGCCCUAAAUUUCCAGGUGUGUUUUUGCGUCUACUCAGAAUAACCCUCCUGUAGGUAAAAAAAAAGUUUGAACAUUUCAUCGAUGGAUCGAGUGUAGACUUAUUGUCUGCUUAAUUAAACCACCUGUUAAAUGCUUUGAUUUCUAAAAAAAAGGGUAAAACUUUAAAUACAUCCUCUUUUUACAACACACGUAUGUGU
Long non-coding RNA from Saccostrea cuccullata (small rock oyster), 3435 nucleotides. RefSeq lists it as uncharacterized. The record is from RefSeq and is a predicted model, not a curated record. NCBI's taxonomy places the organism in Eukaryota, Metazoa, Mollusca, Bivalvia, Ostreida, Ostreidae. The transcript is spliced from 5 exons.